CUGGAAACAAUGUUUGAAGAAUAAGAAAAUGUGGGCCACCAGCCAUGAUGCAGCUCUGCUUUGCACUGAUGAAAGGAGUAUUUGUUCCCCAGUCAGCCUGCUCGUGGUUUGCUGCCCUGUGUUGGAGAGAUUUCCUGGUACCAACCUCAAAUGCCACUUCCUCUGGCAGGGUAUCCAUUUUCUCUCAAAUCUGCCUUCUUGUCUUCUUGAAAGUUCUAAUAAUUUUUCACUGUUGGACUAAUACAAAGUAUAGAACUGCUUCCUUUGGCUCCCAUAUUCUAAGAGUAUGA
This 290-nucleotide long non-coding RNA is filed under the name Serinus canaria (Common canary). Its description in RNAcentral is "lncRNA (ENSSCAG00000004846.1)". Lineage: Eukaryota; Metazoa; Chordata; Aves; Passeriformes; Fringillidae. The record is from RNAcentral.